Long non-coding RNA from Cavia porcellus (domestic guinea pig), 4616 nucleotides. RefSeq lists it as uncharacterized. NCBI's taxonomy places the organism in Eukaryota, Metazoa, Chordata, Mammalia, Rodentia, Caviidae. The transcript is spliced from 2 exons. The record is from RefSeq and is a predicted model, not a curated record.
GGCCGUGUUCGGCCUCAGUGUGGGUAUGCGGGGCGGAGGAAGGUGACCCGAGCAAGCUGGGUGUGGCCGGUGGGGAGCGAGGCCUUCGCCCGGCAGGGACCGCCGGGGUCCGGGUAUUUCCCGUCGCCCAGCUAGCUUCAGCUCCGUCAGGGUCGAGAGGCGUGUGGGGGCGGGGAAGGCGCGGUCGGAGCGCUGCGGAGAGCCCACUCGCCGCUCGCCCUCUGCGGGCCCUUUCUGGUGGUUUCCUUUGUGUCCGCCGAUGUCUGACAGAGCUUCCGGCCGGUUUCCCUGCAGGGCCGCCCCUAUUUUCGUCCCCGCGGACUGCGGCAACGCGGGCCCGGCCUCUUUGUUCCGCCUGCAGAGUGGCCAGGGAUGCUGCGCGUCCUAGCUCUGCCCGGGUGUGUGGGCCUGAUGGCUUUGGGGUCGCUGUGCUUCCCCAGGAAGGAUCCACUCGCACGGGAAGGCCUUGCAAAUGUGGUUCAGUAGAUUUUUGACAGGAAGCACGCGGGUGUCGUCCGGGCUAUCAGCGGUGUGGGUGUGCUCUGGAAUUUUAUUAGACACGGAGCUGGAGGGGUGGAAGCAUUUUCAGUGCAGCGUCAUUUCUUAUUCAGGUUGCCACAGUUAACCUCACUUUGCAGAGUAGUCGUUUCCUCCAAAAGACAAUAGUGGCGAUGCAGUUAAUAUGAAAGGCAUCGUAGCUUAUCGCGAGACCUUGUGAAGUUGAAUUCAAGCCACAAGAGCAGAUACGUUUGCAAUGAACAUUUUAUGAAGAAAGCAUUUAUUCUUAAAAAGGUUAGAUUUGAACUAUGAAGUAUAAAUAUGAGCUAAAGCUAUUUUGUAAAUGCCCUUUAAAAUUGAGUUGAAGGUAUUUUGUUUACUGAGUUUUUAUCAUAAGUAGGUCCUAAGAUUUGUUGAGUGAUUUUUUUUUUCUUCACAUAUGAGAUGACUGUAGUGAGUUUUCUUUAGUCUAUUAAUAAGUGAAUUUCAUUGACUCAUUUUUGUAAGUUGAACCAGUCUUGUUUUUUUCAUAGACUCAGCCUCACUAGUCACAAUGAUUUUUGUUUUUUUAUGCCCACGUACAGUGUGCACUUACCACGAGGUAUAAGAUACGUAAUGAAUGUUUAAAGAGUAAACAUUUUCCACAUCAACUGUUGCCUUACUAAAUCUAGAAAAUUUCUAUGUGAACUACAAUGACAAUAAAAAUGAAACUACUACAAAAAUAAUCUUUACUUGAAUUAUCAUACCUAAGGCAGUUUUCACACAAGAACAGUACACAAGUCUUUUUUACACGGAUAGCCUAACCCUAACCCUAGGAUUUUGUUUUCCUGUCUAGUAGGACACACAUGACACCUACCCUAGGGUUUUGUUUUCUGGUCUGGUAGGACACAUGUGACAUCUUGUGUUCUGUUUUCUCAAGAGGUUCUUGUGAUGUUUCUCCUGUCUGUUCACCAGUCUACUCUGGAAUUCUUUUGCACAGUUCUUUAGGCAGAUACAUAUUAUUCUUCCUAUGUUGUAAUAGACCCUUUAUCAAUUCCAGUCCCAAUUCUCUAAGAAAACUUCUCCAUGAUGUUCUGUGCUUGUUACUGUCUUUGUAAACUAUGAAACUGUGCCUGACAUGUUUAGGAUCCAGUGGAGCACAACCAUCGGCCAUUACUUUCUGUUUCAAGUGACAUCGCAGUUGUUGUAUAACUCAUUAACAUUAUCUGCUCUGCCUUUCAUUUUGUUGUAAAUUGUGAGCAUUUCUGGCUUGAUAUGUAUUUAAGAUUCAGUAUUUUUUUUUUUUGUAAUUUGGUUUUGAGAUGGGGUCUCAUGGAGUAGUCCAGCACUAGCUGACCUGUGACCUUCAACAUACAGACCCCACUCAUUACAGGUGUCUACCACCACACCCAGCUUUACUAUUUACCUUAUCAUCAUGGUAUAACAGUGACAGUAUCAAUAUUAACUUUUUUUUCAACGUUGUAUAGUCCAGGCUAGCUUGGAACUCUUUAUGUAGGCCAGGCUGACCUUGAACACACAGGAUCUUCCUGCUUCACCCUCCUAAGUGCUGGGAUUAUAGGUGUGCAGCACAUAUAAUACUGGCAGUAUCAAAGGGUAGCGAUAGAUUUCUCUGUUGCGAACUUGGAACAUUUUUUCAGGUCUCUACUGUGUUCUUAUAAAUAAUUCCUGUACUAGCCAAGUGUUUUUUUUUUUUUUUUUUAAAGCAAUGUAACAUUAAUACCUAGCUUGUGAACCAAUUGUUGAAAGUGACAUUUAUUUUUUGAAAUAGGUGCAAAAAGUAUGUUUACAAAGCUAUAUGGUAUAGCACUGUGCAAAUAAAGGCCUACCUGAGUUUCAAGAUAAAUUUCCAAAUUGCAGGUAUAAGAUGUCUUCACAUCUACCAGGACAUGUAUUUUUAUGCUGUACUUGCAAGGCGUAUUUGGCAUAGAUCACCAAAACCUUUAGUGACUGUGAAAUGAUGCAAGUUGUUUGUGAAUUGUCAUAUAUUCAGAUGAUGUAUAAAUUGCUUGAAAGUUCAAAACAAAGCCUUCAAAAAAUGAGCAAAUAGCAGUCAAGUUGUUGGGUUUUCCCCUUUUUUUGUUGAGGGUCUUUUUGUCACUGAGACUAGGCAGUUUUGAAAUUUCAAAUUUGUUGAGUGUCAUUCAUUGCCACAUCCAUCACUUUUUCAUAAACCCUUUAGAUUCUGAUUAACACAAUUAGAAUGAAAGUCUUUUAACUCAGAGUGUGAGAUGUCAUGAUAAAUGCAUUUUUUUUUUUUUUUUGGUCUUUUUCCUUUUUAUUGGUAGCGGGGAUCGAACUCACGACUGCCUGCUUACAAGGCAGGCGCUUAUGCCGCUCAGCUAAAUCUCCAGCCCCGAUAAAUGCAUUUUUGAAUACUACUAUUGAUGUAUAGAGAAUAUUUUACUUGAAUUUUACUUGUAUUUCAAAACAUCUUGUGACAUCAUUCAUUACAGUUUCCAACAUUGAAUUGUAGUGUUAGCAUUCUGUCCAGUGGGCUUCACCCAUGUCAAAGAAUUUAACAUCUUUUCACUUGGUUCUAAUUUUGGGUUCUUUAGAUAUACAUGAUCACUUUGUAAUAUAUUGACUAGUCAAAUAUUUAUUUACAAUACUGCUUUUGUCCUCAUCUGAAUCAGACUCUUCAUUCUGUUGUAUCUUGCUUUGAUCGAAGUCAUCGGUAGCUGAAUCGCAUGGUGCCUUACUUUCGUCCUUCUCCCAAGUUGUAAAAGAGGGUUUUUAUUUGACAGUGUACUGAAUUGGGCUAAUUCUGUAAGAAAAAAAAAAAAGACAAAAUACAAUAAAAUUAUAAAUACAUCAAAAUGUACUUAUGGCGCAUAACCUGGGUAAAACCCAUUUAUACUUCAACACAUGUGCACGUAUUUUGGGUGCACCAUACCAAGUGGGUGGACACACAGAUUGCAUCCUGUGUUCCCCCAGCUGCUGAGACACACAGCCAGCUACUGUUAUGCUAAAGUCCAUAUUUUCAAUAGAAAAAAGAUGGUCAGGGUGUUUUUUAAUCCACCUUAAUGCCUCUUGGAUAGUGACCAAUUAUGUUUUCUACGGCUUUGUUGAAUUUUGAUCUGUGACCUUAGUUGUUUUCACUGCAUUUGGGAGCAGUGAAAUGGGAGUAUUUUUGACAAUUACUUCCUCAGAAGGAGUCUUUGUUUUUGUCCUUAAAUUAAUCUGCUUAACAGUACUCUGAUACUUGGGUUAUUUUUUUUAAAUUUUAUAUCAUUUCUAUUGCUGUGUCUUCAGAUUUAUUCUAUUCUAUCUCAUUGGUGGCACAGGGAUUGAGGUUUUUUUUGUCUGUUAAAGUUGGAGAUGCUUCUUUUAUCUUUCUAUUUCCUUGGCGUACUGUCUCAUGUUUUCCUCUAAGCAUGUGAAGUCGGUUAAGAUUACAAGACUUGGAAAUGAACCCUUGUUUGAGCUCAGUUGAGUUCAGGUUGGUUUGAGCUCAGUAAUUCUUGCUGUGGAUUGUAUUUUCCUGCUUCUCAUGCCUACCAAUGUUUUGUUAGGUAUCAGGUGCAAAUUUUAAUCUGCUGAGGGGUAGAUAUACUUACAUAAUUGAAGAGAUAUACUUGGACCCUGCUCUUGGACAUAAUUGAGUUACUUGAUGAAAAUCUGAUACAUUUUGAUGUUCAUGUUUAGGCUUUUUUAAAAGUGAAAGGAGAUCUUUAAUCUUAUGACUACUUUCCUACAGUGCUAUUUCACUAUGCAGUGCUCCAUAUGUUACAAGUUUUCUAUUCUGGGUGGUAGAAUCCCAGAUACUAGCUAGGAAGAAGGUCCCCUUGAGUAAUUUUUUUCAAAUGUAUGGGCUGAUACGUGCUUAGCUACAUUUGCUAUCUGGGUAGCUCUCUCCAAGAUUCUGCCCUAGAAACUCUACAUUGCUUCAUUUCCCAAGUCCCAGCUCUGUGAUGUCAAGUGAACUUCUGAACUCUACCUGCCAUUGUGUGCUCCCCAGGCAGGAGGACAGGCCCUUGAGACUCACCCUAACCUCUCUCAGAAGUAACUGACUGAAUUGCUUAGUUAGAAGAACCAGCUUCAUUUAUUUUUCUCAGUGGUUAAAGCAGAAGGUAAGUGUGGUCACUGCCACUUCAUUUUAGGUAAUUAUACUAAGCAAC